UUGCUUCUCUGAUGUUAGCGGCGGACGGGUGAGUAACACGUGGAUAACCUACCUAUAAGACUGGGAUAACUUCGGGAAACCGGAGCUAAUACCGGAUAAUAUUUUGAACCGCAUGGUUCAAAAGUGAAAGACGGUCUUGCUGUCACUUAUAGAUGGAUCCGCGCUGCAUUAGCUAGUUGGUAAGGUAACGGCUUACCAAGACAACGAUGCAUAGCCGACCUGAGAGGGUGAUCGGCCACACUGGAACUGAGACACGGUCCAGACUCCUUUGCUUCUCUGAUGUUAGCGGCGGACGGGUGAGUAACACGUGGAUAACCUACCUAUAAGACUGGGAUAACUUCGGGAAACCGGAGCUAAUACCGGAUAA
RNAcentral lists this ribosomal RNA (367 nucleotides) under Escherichia coli. Its description in RNAcentral is "bacterial SSU rRNA". The stretch from base 1 to 292 matches the Rfam family "Bacterial small subunit ribosomal RNA", at positions 78 to 357 of the family's 1533-position model. The record is from RNAcentral. Lineage: Bacteria; Pseudomonadati; Pseudomonadota; Gammaproteobacteria; Enterobacterales; Enterobacteriaceae.